UUAGAGUUUGAUCCCUGGCUCAGGAUGAACGCUAGCGGCAGGCUUAACACAUGCAAGUCGAGGGGUAUAGUUCUUCGGAAUUAGAGACCGGCGCACGGGUGCGUAACGCGUAUGCAAUCUACCUUUUACAGAGGGAUAGCCCAGAGAAAUUUGGAUUAAUACCUCAUAGUAUUAUGAAAUGGCAUCAUUUUAUAAUUAAAGUCACAACGGUAAAAGAUGAGCAUGCGUCCCAUUAGCUAGUUGGUAAGGUAACGGCUUACCAAGGCUACGAUGGGUAGGGGUCCUGAGAGGGAGAUCCCCCACACUGGUACUGAGACACGGACCAGACUCCUACGGGAGGCAGCAGUGAGGAAUAUUGGACAAUGGGCGCAAGCCUGAUCCAGCCAUGCCGGGUGCAGGAUGACGGUCCUAUGGAUUGUAAACUGCUUUUAUACGAGAAGAAACACUACUUCGUGAAGUAGCUUGACGGUAUCGUAAGAAUAAGGAUCGGCUAACUCCGUGCCAGCAGCCGCGGUAAUACGGAGGAUCCAAGCGUUAUCCGGAAUCAUUGGGUUUAAAGGGUCCGUAGGCGGUUUAAUAAGUCAGUGGUGAAAGCCCAUCGCUCAACGGUGGAACGGCCAUUGAUACUGUUAAACUUGAAUUAUUAGGAAGUAACUAGAAUAUGUAGUGUAGCGGUGAAAUGCUUAGAGAUUUCAUGGAAUACCAAUUGCGAAGGCAGGUUACUACUAAUGUAUUGACGCUGAUGGACGAAAGCGUGGGUAGCGAACAGGAUUAGAUACCCUGGUAGUCCACGCCGUAAACGAUGGAUACUAGCUGUUGGGAGCAAUCUUGGCUAAGCGAAAGUGAUAAGUAUCCCACCUGGGGAGUACGUUCGCAAGAAUGAAACUCAAAGGAAUUGACGGGGGCCCGCACAAGCGGUGGAGCAUGUGGUUUAAUUCGAUGAUACGCGAGGAACCUUACCAAGGCUUAAAUGUAGAUUGACCGGUUUGGAAACAGAUCUUUCGCAAGACAAUUUACAAGGUGCUGCAUGGUUGUCGUCAGCUCGUGCCGUGAGGUGUCAGGUUAAGUCCUAUAACGAGCGCAACCCCUGUUGUUAGUUGCCAGCGAGUCAUGUCGGGAACUCUAACAAGACUGCCAGUGCAAACUGUGAGGAAGGUGGGGAUGACGUCAAAUCAUCACGGCCCUUACGCCUUGGGCUACACACGUGCUACAAUGGCCGGUACAGAGAGCAGCCACUGGGCGACCAGGAGCGAAUCUAUAAAACCGGUCACAGUUCGGAUCGGAGUCUGCAACUCGACUCCGUGAAGCUGGAAUCGCUAGUAAUCGGAUAUCAGCCAUGAUCCGGUGAAUACGUUCCCGGGCCUUGUACACACCGCCCGUCAAGCCAUGGAAGCUGGGGGUGCCUGAAGUCGGUGACCGCAAGGAGCUGCCUAGGGUAAAACUGGUAACUAGGGCUAAGUCGUAACAAGGUAGCC
Molecule: ribosomal RNA, 1475 nt
Filed under: Flavobacterium sp. MTFA(2012)
Lineage: Bacteria; Pseudomonadati; Bacteroidota; Flavobacteriia; Flavobacteriales; Flavobacteriaceae
Description: 16S ribosomal RNA
Rfam family: Bacterial small subunit ribosomal RNA
Source: RNAcentral